RNAcentral lists this ribosomal RNA (68 nucleotides) under Synergistaceae bacterium. RNAcentral's name for it is "partial 16S ribosomal RNA". It matches the Rfam family "Bacterial small subunit ribosomal RNA", at positions 1 to 68 of the family's 1533-position model. The record is from RNAcentral. Lineage: Bacteria; Thermotogati; Synergistota; Synergistia; Synergistales; Synergistaceae.
UUUCUUGAGAGUUUGAUCCUGGCUCAGGACGAACGCUGGCGGCGUGCUUAACACAUGCAAGUUGCACG